GUUUAUGGUGCGCCGAUGGGUCCAUGGUCCAUGCGCCUGUUGCUGUGGACCAGGCGGCUAACCAGAUCACUAAAUCAAUUGAUUUUUGACCAAUUUUGAUCUGAUUUGACUCGGGUUUGACCCAAUUGAGUCUUCUUUCUUCAUUCUUCAAUUUUUGGGUCAAUUUAACUCCGUUUUGCGUAAAAUUUGCGCCGUUGGAAUCCUCUUUCCUUGUUCUUUCUAUUGAUGACCUCUUUUUUUGCAAAAUAUAAUAACAAGUAUCAAUUUU
Molecule: long non-coding RNA, 268 nt
Filed under: Elaeis guineensis (African oil palm)
Lineage: Eukaryota; Viridiplantae; Streptophyta; Magnoliopsida; Arecales; Arecaceae
Description: long non-coding RNA (EGUI_LNC026410)
Source: RNAcentral